AGUGAACGCUGGCGGUAGGCCUAACACAUGCAUGUCGAACGGCAGCACAGGAGAGCUUGCUCUCUGGGUGGCGAGUGGCGGACGGGUGAGGAAUGCAUCGGAAUCUACUCUGUCGUGGGGGAUAACGUAGGGAAACUUACGCUAAUACCGCAUACGACCUACGGGUGAAAGCAGGGGACCUUCGGGCCUUGCGCGAUUGAAUGAGCCGAUGUCGGAUUAGCUAGUUGGCGGGGUAAAGGCCCACCAAGGCGACGAUCCGUAGCUGGUCUGAGAGGAUGAUCAGCCACACUGGAACUGAGACACGGUCCAGACUCCUACGGGAGGCAGCAGUGGGGAAUAUUGGACAAUGGGCGCAAGCCUGAUCCAGCCAUACCGCGUGGGUGAAGAAGGCCUUCGGGUUGUAAAGCCCUUUUGUUGGGAAAGAAGUCCAGCUGGCUAAUACCCGGUUGGGAUGACGGUACCCAAAGAAUAAGCACCGGCUAACUUCGUGCCAGCAGCCGCAGUAA
RNAcentral lists this ribosomal RNA (506 nucleotides) under uncultured bacterium. RNAcentral's name for it is "partial 16S ribosomal RNA". It matches the Rfam family "Bacterial small subunit ribosomal RNA", at positions 29 to 523 of the family's 1533-position model. The record is from RNAcentral.